Molecule: ribosomal RNA, 497 nt
Filed under: uncultured bacterium
Lineage: Bacteria
Description: partial 16S ribosomal RNA
Rfam family: Bacterial small subunit ribosomal RNA
Source: RNAcentral
GAUGAACGCUGGCGGCGUGCCUAAUAUAUGCAAGUCGAGCGAACAGACGAGGAGCUUGCUCCUCUGACGUUAGCGGCGGACGGGUGAGUAACACGUGGAUAACCUACCUAUAAGACUGGGAUAACUUCGGGAAACCGGAGCUAAUACCGGAUAAUAUAUUGAACCGCAUGGUUCAAUAGUGAAAGACGGUUUUGCUGUCACUUAUAGAUGGAUCCGCGCCGCAUUAGCUAGUUGGUAAGGUAACGGCUUACCAAGGCAACGAUGCGUAGCCGACCUGAGAGGGUGAUCGGCCACACUGGAACUGAGACAGGGUCCAGACUCCUACGGGAGGCAGCAGUAGGGAAUCUUCCGCAAUGGGCGAAAGCUUGACGGAGCAACGCCGCGUGAGUGAUGAAGGUCUUCGGAUCGUAAAACUCUGUUAUUAGGGAAGAACAAAUGUGUAAGUAACUAUGCACGUCUUGACGGUACCUAAUCAGAAAGCCACGGCUAACUACGUG